CAAAGUAUAGCUAGUAGAUUAGCAUUUCAUUUACAUUGAAAAUAAGUUAUCGUGCAAAUCGGUUUGCUUUGA
Molecule: transfer RNA, 72 nt
Filed under: Bottapotamon lingchuanense
Lineage: Eukaryota; Metazoa; Arthropoda; Malacostraca; Decapoda; Potamidae
Description: tRNA-Val
Source: RNAcentral